This 1054-nucleotide ribosomal RNA is filed under the name uncultured bacterium. Its description in RNAcentral is "bacterial SSU rRNA". It matches the Rfam family "Bacterial small subunit ribosomal RNA", at positions 12 to 1048 of the family's 1533-position model. The record is from RNAcentral.
UUUGAUCCUGGCUCAGGACGAACGCUGGCGGCGUGCCUAACACAUGCAAGUCGAACGGACUGUUAUCCUUCGGGACAACAGUUAGUGGCGAACGGGUGAGUAACGCGUGGGUAACCUGCCCUUAUAACGGGGAUAACUUGCCGAAAGGUGAGCUAAUACCGGAUGAUCUAUUAAGGUUGCAUGAUCGUUGAUAGCAAAGGUGGCCUCUAUGCUACCGUAUAAGGAUGGACCCGCGUCUGAUUAGCUAGUUGGUGGGGUAACGGCCUACCAAGGCGACGAUCAGUAGCCGGCCUGAGAGGGUGAACGGCCACACUGGGACUGAGACACGGCCCAGACUCCUACGGGAGGCAGCAGUGGGGAAUCUUCCGCAAUGGACGAAAGUCUGACGGAGCAACGCCGCGUGAUGAAGGUCUUCGGAUUGUAAAACUCUGUUUUUUGGGACGAACGGCUCAUAUGUGAAUCCUGUAUGGGAUUGACGGUACCAAAGGAGGAAGCCCCGCGUAACUACGUGCCAGCAGCCGCGGUAAUACGUAGGGGGCGAGCGUUGUCCGGAAUUAUUGGGCGUAAAGAGCGCGCAGGCGGUUUGAUAAGUCUACCGUGAAAGCUUACGGCUCAAGCCGUAACGGGUCGGUGGAUACUGUCAGACUUGAGGGCAGGAGAGGAAAGUGGAAUUCCCAGUGUAGCGGUGAAAUGCGUAGAGAUUGGGAGGAACACCAGUGGCGAAGGCGACUUUCUGGACUGCAACUGACGCUGAGGCGGCAAAGCUGGGGGAGUGAACGGGAUUAGAUACCCCGGUAAUCCCAGCCGUAAACGAUGGGUACUAGGUGUAGGAGGUAUCGACCCCUUCUGUGCCGGUGAUAACGCAAUAAGUACCCCGCCUGGGGAGUACGGUCGCAAGACUGAAACUCAAAGGAAUUGACGGGGGCCCGCACAAGCGGUGGAGCAUGUGGUUUAAUUCGACGCAACGCGAAGAGCCUUACCAGGGCUUGACAUCGUACGAAACACUUAGAGAUAAGUGCCUUUCUUCGGAAACGUAUAGACAGGUGGUCCAUGG